GGGACACGUGGUAUCCUGUCUGAAUAUGGGGGGACCAUCCUCCAAGGCUAAAUACUCCUGACUGACCGAUAGUGAACCAGUACCGUGAGGGAAAGGCGAAAAGAACCCCGGCGAGGGGAGUGAAAAAGAACCUGAAACCGUGUACGUACAAGCAGUGGGAGCACCUUCGGGUGUGACUGCGUACCUUUUGUAUAAUGGGUCAGCGACUUAUAUUCUGUAGCAAGGUUAACCGUAUAGGGGAGCCGCAGGGAAACCGAGUCUUAACUGGGCGUUAAGUUGCAGGGUAUAGACCCGAAACCCGGUGAUCUAGCCAUGGGCAGGUUGAAGGUUGGGUAACACUAACUGGAGGACCGAACCGACUAAUGUUGAAAAAUUAGCGGAUGACUUGUGGCUGGGGGUGAAAGGCCAAUCAAACCGGGAGAUAGCUGGUUCUCCCCGAAAGCUAUUUAGGUAGCGCCUCGUGAACUCAUCUUCGGGGGUAGAGCACUGUUUCGGCUAGGGGGUCAUCCCGACUUACCAACCCGAUGCAAACUACGAAUACCGAAGAAUGUUAUCACGGGAGACACACGGCGGGUGCUAACGUCCGUCGUGAAGAGGGAAACAACCCAGACCGCCAGCUAAGGUCCCAAAGUCAUGGUUAAGUGGGAAACGAUGUGGGAAGGCACAGACAGCCAGGAUGUUGGCUUAGAAGCAGCCAUCAUUUAAAGAAAGCGUAAUAGCUCACUGGUCGAGUCGGCCUGCGCGGAAGAUGUAACGGGGCUAAACCAUGCACCGAAGCUGCGGCAGCGACACUAUGUGUUGUUGGGUAGGGGAGCGUUCUGUAAGCCUGCGAAGGUGUGCUGUGAGGCAUGCUGGAGGUAUCAGAAGUGCGAAUGCUGACAUAAGUAACGAUAAAGCGGGUGAAAAGCCCGCUCGCCGGAAGACCAAGGGUUCCUGUCCAACGUUAAUCGGGGCAGGGUGAGUCGACCCCUAAGGCGAGGCCGAAAGGCGUAGUCGAUGGGAAACAGGUUAAUAUUCCUGUACU
RNAcentral lists this ribosomal RNA (1024 nucleotides) under Klebsiella pneumoniae. Its description in RNAcentral is "partial 23S ribosomal RNA". It matches the Rfam family "Bacterial large subunit ribosomal RNA", at positions 419 to 1445 of the family's 2925-position model. The record is from RNAcentral. RNAcentral also lists the same sequence under 1 other name. Lineage: Bacteria; Pseudomonadati; Pseudomonadota; Gammaproteobacteria; Enterobacterales; Enterobacteriaceae.